UGAAUACGAGACGCUAAGGCGUCGAAGUAGUGUAUGUCAUACUUCCAAGAAAAGCUUGCACUGUCAUAGAUAAAAAACGCCUGUACCAUAACCGACACAGGUGGGUAGGUAGAGUAUACUAAGGGGCGCGAGAUAACUCUCUCUAAGGAACUCGGCAAAAUAACUCCGUAACUUCGGGAGAAGGAGUGCCUUAUUCGUAAGGUUGCAAUAACAAGAUCCAAGCAACUGUUUAUCAAAAACACAGGUCUCCGCUAAGUCGUAAGACGAUGUAUGGGGGCUGACGCCUGCCCAGUGCCAGAAGGUUAAAGAAGUUGGUUAGCAAUUGCGAAGCUGAUAACUGAAGCCCUGGUGAACGGCGGCCGUAACGAUAACGGUCCUAAGGUAGCGAAAUUCCUUGUCGGGUAAGUUCCGACCCGCACGAAAGGCGUAAUGAUUUGGAUACUGUCUCGGAGAGGGGCUCGGUGAAAUAGACUUGUCUGUGAAGAUGCGGACUACCUGCACCAGGACAGGAAGACCCUAUGAAGCUUUACUGUAACUUGAAAUUGAAAUUGGACUUUAUUCGCGCAGUAUAGGUGGGAGGCGUUGAUUAUAAUCUUGCGGGAUUAUUGGAGCCAUCAGUGAGAUACCACUCUUGUAAUGUUAGAUUUCUAACUUUGAAUCAUUAUCUGGUCAAAGAACAGUUUCAGGCGGGCAGUUUGACUGGGGCGGUCGCCUCCUAAACGGUAACGGAGGCGUACAAAGGUUUCCUCUGAACGGUUAGAAAUCGUAUCUAGAGUGUAAAGGCAUAAGGAAGCUUGACUGUGAGACCUACAAGUCGAGCAGGGACGAAAGUCGGUCUUAGUGAUCUGACGGUACUGAGUGGAAAGGCCGUCACUCAACGGAUAAAAGUUACUCUAGGAUAACAGGCUAAUCUCCCCCAAGAGUUCACAUCGACGGGGAGGUUUGGCACCUCGAUGUCGGCUCAUCGCAUCCUGGGGCGGUAGUACGUCCCAAGGGUUGGGCUGUUCGCCCAUGAAAGCGGUACACGAGCUGGGUUCAGAACGUCGUGAGACAGUUCGGUCCAUAUCCGGUGUAGGCGUUAGAAUAUUGAGAGGAGCCUUCUUUAGUACGAGAGGGCCGAGAAGGACAUACCUCUGGUGUACCAGUUAUCGUGCCAACGGUAAACGCUGGGUAGCUAUGUAUGGAGUGGAUAACCGCUGAAAGCAUCUAAGUGGGAAGCCCACCUCAAGAUAAG
Molecule: ribosomal RNA, 1234 nt
Filed under: metagenome
Description: bacterial LSU rRNA
Rfam family: Bacterial large subunit ribosomal RNA
Source: RNAcentral